Molecule: non-coding RNA, 113 nt
Organism: Triticum aestivum (bread wheat)
Lineage: Eukaryota; Viridiplantae; Streptophyta; Magnoliopsida; Poales; Poaceae
Source: Rfam
UAGGUAUACCUCCGUCCAGAAAUAACUGUCGCUUAAACGGAUGUAUCUAGACGUAUUUCAGUGCUAGAUACAUCCGUUGAGCGACAGUUAUUUCUGGGCGGAGGGAGUAUAAU